GUGCUCACUUCGGCAGCACAUAUUCUAAAACUGGAACGAUACAGAGAAGAGUUACAUGGCCCUUGUGCAAGGAUGACACGCAAAUUCAUGAAGCAUUCCAUAUUUUU
Molecule: small nuclear RNA, 107 nt
Organism: Cynocephalus volans (Philippine flying lemur)
Lineage: Eukaryota; Metazoa; Chordata; Mammalia; Dermoptera; Cynocephalidae
Source: RefSeq, a predicted model, not a curated record